GAGCACGUAGGUGGGUUUGUAAGUCAGAUGUGAAGGCCUUCUGUUCAACGGGAGAAUUGCAUCUGAAACUGCUAAUCUUGAGUAUAGGAGGGGAGAAUGGAACUUUUGGUGGAGCGGUGAAAUGCGUAGAUAUCAGAAGGAACGUCGGCGGCGAAAGCGAUUCUCUGGCCUAUUACUGACACUCAGUGUGCGAAAGCUAGGGGAGCAAACGGGAUUAGAUACCCCGGUAGUCCUAGCCGUAAACGAUGGGCACUAAGUAGAGGGGAUUACCUAUGUUCUCUCUGCCGUAGCUAACGCAUUAAGUGCCCCGCCUGGGGAGUACGGCCGCAAGGCUAAAACUCAAAAGAAUUGACGGGGGCUCGCACAAGCGGUGGAGCAUGUGGCUUAAUUCGAUGCAACGCGAAAAACCUUACCGGGGCUUGACAUGAUAGAAGUAGGAACCUGAAAGGGGGACGAACGGUAUCCAGUCCGUAGCUAUUACAGGUGUUGCAUGGCUGUCGUCAGCUCGUGUCGUGAGACGUUGGGUUAAGUCCCCUAACGAGCGAAACCCUUGUUUUUAGUUACCAGCGGGUUAUGCCGGGUACUCUAGAAAGACUGCCGUCGUCAAGACGGAGGAAGGUGGGGAUGACGUCAAGUCAUCAUGGCCCUUAUGCCCCGGGCUGCACACGUGCUACAAUGGUCGGUACAGACGGAAGCGAAGCCGAGAGGUGAAGCGAAUCC
This 720-nucleotide ribosomal RNA is filed under the name uncultured ammonia-oxidizing bacterium. Its description in RNAcentral is "bacterial SSU rRNA". It matches the Rfam family "Bacterial small subunit ribosomal RNA", at positions 565 to 1274 of the family's 1533-position model. The record is from RNAcentral.